This is an RNA transcript of Myotis myotis, 3512 nucleotides long. RefSeq lists it as uncharacterized. The record is from RefSeq and is a predicted model, not a curated record. Lineage: Eukaryota; Metazoa; Chordata; Mammalia; Chiroptera; Vespertilionidae. The transcript is spliced from 4 exons.
CCAGUGCGAUUGCCCAGCCGGCCUUGGACAGGAGGCCUGAUAAGAGCCAUUCGCCCGCACGUAGGCUCACGUCUCUGCCGUUGACAUGGGGGCAAUGGUAUUGGCCUGGGGGAAGGGCCCCGUGCUGGGGAGGCCUGUUGGAGGCCCGGUUGGGUUUCCCUCCCUGUGGCCUCCUAGGGAGAGGCCUGGGCUGGCAGUUGACCUACCUGGGCUCCCCAUCUGGAGAGGGAGGGGUCGAUGGCAGCCACGGGUUUCGGGGAACUACAUGUGGCCCCACAUGGGACCGUGUGGGUGGGCUGGGGAGAAGGGCCUCGACCUCUGGCCUCUGGGACUUUGGCCUCUGAGUGCGGGGUCUGGAUGGGAGGUGGGGGCAGGGCUUGCAAACCCCCAGGAGGCUUGGGGGUGGGGCCACCUCUGGCCCAGUUUCCUGGGAGCCCAGCCCAGCCCCGAGAUUCCUGCGAUGGGUGUGCCCAACUUCCGGCCGGGUGUGGGCGGGCACAGGGCUCCAGGAGGCAAAAAGGCUGUUCCCGCCCUUCCCGCCGCCAGAGCCUGCUGGUGUGCGCCACGGUGAACUUGCUGGGACGAGGACUCCAUCCCAGCGCCAUGUGUGAGGUCCAGAGCAGCAGCCUUCUGUGCCGGGACCCAGCGGGCGCUGCCCACCCGGCCGGCACCCUCGGUGCCCUGUCCCCGGGCGAGCCUGGUCUUGGCUCCAGGCUCAGCCGCGUCCUUCCUCGACGACCAGCAGCCGCUGCGGCUCCAGCGCUGGACAGAGGCAGCCCGGCGCCCACACCUGCAGGCGAGCGGCUCUCUCGGCCUCAGUUUACCACCUGCAGAGCCAGAGAGGAGGAAGCCGGGAGGGGGAGGAGGGCGCCGUCGCCUGGAUUCUCCCUUCGGGGCUUUUGUGUUUUCAAGGAGGGCUUUUCUUUCCAUUUUCUUUUCCUUUUCUUUUUUUUUGGUGAGGUAAGGGGUCAUAGAAUUUGACCAGAGAUGCUGGUUGCCGACGCCGAGCCCGUUGGAGUGCGCAGCCCCACGGCUCAGCUGUGGGCAGCGGUGCCCACCAGGCUCUGCUGGGCAUCUGGGCUGUGACCGCGGCGAGCAGAGCCAUGGGACCUGCCCGUGAGAGCCCACAGGGCCCUGAGCCCCCGAGAGGCCCCGGAGGGCAGGAAUGCGGGCAGACAGUGUAAGGGUCCCCCCCACCCCCCGGGGGCUGGGCGGCUGCUGCUCCUGGGAGGUGUCGACUCCCCUCCCCCCAGUGAGGAGCCUGGCCCUCAGGACUUUACGUCCCACCUGCCAAGCGGUGAUUUGGCUCCUCCCCAUGGAAGCUCGGCUCCCGCCCGCUUAUUGCGAAACGUCCCAGAUGCCACAGCCUGGCUUCUGCCGCGGGGCGGGGCCUGCAGCAGCUUCAGACCCGAGCCACACGUGGUCGGGGCAGGCAGCUUUCCUCCUGGGCCUCAGUCUCCUCAUCUGUAAAGUGGGGUGGAAACGCCAGGGUGUGAGUGAGAACUAGAGGGGCAGCGGGUCAGGGCUGGGUACGUGGUAGGUGGCGGCGUCAGAGCGGUGCCCACCCCGCUCUCUCAUCACUGAGACCCACCGUGGGCCUGGCAUCACCCGGCCCGACCCAGGGGCAGGCUAGGGGCGCAGCCGCCCUCCACUCAGCUUGGAGCUGCCCCCCGUCCCAGGCCCCUCCGCAGAUCCCAGGCGGAGAGGCAGGUGGAGGACCUGGGCACAUGGUCGCCGCAGCCCAAGGAGAGGUGAGGUGGCACCUGAGUUUUCUGUCCCGGGCAGGAGAGACCUGGGCGGGUGUGAGCCAUCGCCUACGGGUACCCACCACCCCUGCACCCGGCCCCCCUCCCAGGUUGGCAAGGGAGUGAGCUGGGAGGAGCGGGCAGCGUGGUCGGGGUUGAUUUAGAGUUCGGGGAGAGGGGAUAAUGUAGGAAAUGAAGGAAAUUUCCCCAGGGGGAGAGAGAAAAAAGAGGAGCUUAAGUGCCCAGAUAAUUACACCGCCGGGCGGUGAUUUACGGCGGCGGUUCCUCCGCUGCCUCCCGUGCCCUCCCCGCUCAGCCCCGCGUGAGACCUGCCGGUGGGGGUGGCAGCGGGCGGGCCACGCCCAGACCCCCCACCCCGAGUCCCGCCAGCUCUGAUGUCUCUUAGCAUGUCCCCCCCUUUGAUCGGCCCCUGGGUGGUGCCCAUGUCGCCCACCCUGCAGGGUGCCAGCCAGGUCCCCUUCCUGGGACUCCGGGAGCCUGAGCCCCUCGGGCAGGGCAGGCUCUUGGGGGACAUUUCAUGAGUCCGGCGACUGAAAGGGGAGACAAGACAGCCUCGCUGUGCUCCGUGCGGGCGCUGUGAGGAGUUCCGAGGCGCCAGCAGACAAUUUUCCCACCAAGUCCUGUCCCCGUGAGGCCAAGGCAGGGCUCCGAGACCAGCGGCCGGCCGGGCACUGACCCUGCCGGAGAGGGCGGGCGUCGCUGUGCUGAGGCGGCUGCAGGCCUGGGAAGAGCAGCUGGGAGAGGGGCCCAUCGAGGACUGGGGCCCGUCCUUCUGGGGUCCUGGGGUGUCCGGAGAAGGGGAAGACGUAGACAGAGAGAGAGGGGCGCCCACCAGGUGCUCCUUAUGGUGCGAGGACCUGGAAGCAGCCUGCCUUCUGGGGGUUCAGUGGUCGUGACCAGUUCCCCGAUGGGGUGCCAGGGCUCAGGCUGUGGGGGGCGCUCCAGGCCAGGUGGGCACGGUUCCGUGAGGCCUGAGCCUCCGGACGGUUACACGUGUUGGCUGCCUUUCUCCGUUUCCCAAACUCUGGCUUCAUGAGGAUCUGUUUCUUCAGCAGUGACAGGAAAAUGUCAUUUACUUUCAGAACCAACCACGUGGCGAGAGUGAAACUGACCUGCCCGCCAGGCCAUCCCUGCCUGUUCCCCCAAAAGCCGGCCGUCCACAGCGGGCGGGAGUCGUGGUGGGGGUGGCCAGGGCAUCUCAUCACCGUCAAGCACGAUGGCCGUGGCUUUGCUAGUGCAGAUCCUGCCGUUUGUGACCAGCCUGGCCCAGCGGAGCCCGAGGUGGGUGUGCGACACGCGGCGGCGGCCUGCUUUUUGGGGGGAUGUGGCUCAUCCCAAAGCCCCUCAGAAAGGGGGACCCGUCACGGCCUGCAGGAGGCCCCGCUGCACUGCCCUGCCCAGAGAGAGGAAGGGAGAAAGAAACAUCGACCGGCUGCCUCCUGCACGCCCUGCGGUGGAUGGAGCCCGAAACCUGGGCAUUGCCCUGACGGGACGGAACCAGCGACCUGCUGCAUGGACAACGCCCGCUGACCCAGCCGCACGCACGCCUUUUGCCGCGUGUUGGCCUCCCUGUCCUGAUGGGGUGUGAUGGCCACUCCUGUCCUGAUGGGGUGACCCAGUGCCUAGAUGAGUUUCCCAAACACCACUCUGCACUCUCCCUCUCUCAGUCCAACCCCCCUACCGUUCUCUCCCUUCUUCCCUCACCCCUCUCCCUCCCGCAUCUCCCCCCUCUCCCUUCCCCAUAUC